This 200-nucleotide ribosomal RNA is filed under the name uncultured bacterium. Its description in RNAcentral is "partial 16S ribosomal RNA". It matches the Rfam family "Bacterial small subunit ribosomal RNA", at positions 29 to 258 of the family's 1533-position model. The record is from RNAcentral.
AACGAACGCUGGCGGCAGGCUUAACACAUGCAAGUCGAACGCCCCGCAAGGGGAGUGGCAGACGGGGUGAGUAACGCGUGGGAAUCUACCUAGUUCUACGGAACAACAGUUGGAAACGACUGCUAAUACCGUAUACGCCUACGGGGGAAAGAUUUAUCGGAAUUAGAUGAGCCCGCGUAAGAUUAGCUAGUUGGUGAGGU